Long non-coding RNA from Manacus vitellinus (golden-collared manakin), 511 nucleotides. RefSeq lists it as uncharacterized. Lineage: Eukaryota; Metazoa; Chordata; Aves; Passeriformes; Pipridae. The record is from RefSeq and is a predicted model, not a curated record. The transcript is spliced from 4 exons.
UGUUAAGUCAUCUUGACACACUGCCACGAAAUGGAAACAACUGCUAGUUUUAACAUUGCUCCAUAUCUUUAUUAAAAGAGUCAUCAAUCUCUUCAGAGUCAUCUUGCCAUCUGUACCAGCAUUGCUCCAGGCUUCCAUAUGAAAGUCCAAUCUGGCGGUAUAAAUACCGGAUAAUGAAGAGUGGGUGUUAAAGUUUCUGACUGGUUGGAAGAUGACACUGGCAGAGUCUUUACUCUGCACACCACUGCUGACCCCAGAAAUGACCCACAGGAACUACUGGCGAAAGGAGUGAAAAGUUGGCAUCAGAACUGAGGAAAAUGUGCCCAGCAGAUCAGUGGUCAUACGACAGCCCCUUAAAAUGCAGCCAGCAGAACUGGUGUGCUCUGGGUACAGCUGAAGAUACAGAGUUCCCAAAGUGUGCCACUUGCUUUCCACUCUCUUGCUGCCGAGCAGCUGGGACUGUGCUGCUCCCCGUCUCUGCACAAGGGGGUGACUACUCUGAGCUUCUUCU